GACGAACGCUGGCGGCGUGCCUAAUACAUGCAAGUAGAACGCUGAAGGAGGAGCUUGCUCUUCUGGAUGAGUUGCGAACGGGUGAGUAACGCGUAGGUAACCUGCCUGGUAGCGGGGGAUAACUAUUGGAAACGAUAGCUAAUACCGCAUAAUAGUAGAUGUUGCAUGAUAUUUACUUAAAAGGUGCAAUUGCACCACUACCAGAUGGACCUGCGUUGUAUUAGCUAGUUGGUGGGGUGACGGCUCACCAAGGCGACGAUACAUAGCCGACCUGGGAGGGGGGUCGGCCACACUGGGACGGAGACACGGCCCAGACUACUAAGGGAGGGAGCAGUAGGGAAUCGUCGGCAAUGGACGAAAGUCUGACAGAGCAACGCCGCGUGAGUGAAGAAGGUUUUCGGAGCGGAAAGCUCUGUUGUAAGAGAAGAACGAGUGUGAGAGUGGAAAGUUCACACUGUGACGGUAUCUUAACAGAAAGGGACGGCUAACUACGUG
This 495-nucleotide ribosomal RNA is filed under the name uncultured bacterium. Its description in RNAcentral is "partial 16S ribosomal RNA". It matches the Rfam family "Bacterial small subunit ribosomal RNA", at positions 28 to 507 of the family's 1533-position model. The record is from RNAcentral.